UGUCCAAAACGCCUCUGAACUCCUCCAAAAGCCCUCCUCCACCCCCGCAGAUCAGAGCUGGCAGCUCCCAGCGCCGCGGGGAACGUCCUGCCUCAGCUCCAGGCGGCUCGGAAUUAUCGCACCAUGAUGACAUUUAGAGCCGAGGAGGUGUAACGCUGCUCCAACAUGACCCGAGGACACCGACAGCAAAAAGAAGAACAACUCUCAUUCUUUACUUCAGCAGAGGAUGUCAGCUUCGUUUCAGAAUCUUGGAGCUCGAAGCCUGGACAGCAUCUCAAAUAUUCAUCUCUGUGGAUGAGGCCAGUUUGAACGCCAAGCAGAGCGAAGGUGGAAGUUCUGGGCCAGAGCUGUGCCGACAUCAUAACGUAUGCUGUAAUAUUAUCUGAUGGUCCAACACUGAGCAGCUCACUUCAUUAUUUGAUGACCUCUAUGAAAGACCUGUGUCAGGUGAGGAGAGCAGGCAGGUGAGGCUGAAUCCAGCUCCAGAUGUGCUGUCACACUGUUACUUUUCCCUCCACCGUCCUCUCUAUCCCUCAGCUCCACAGACCAAAUACAGGAGAAAUGGUUCACUAUCCCUGUGUAUCUGUAGCUGUCCUGUAUACACUGUCAGUUUAUUAGAAACACCUAACUAAAGCUAACUCAGUCUUAACCAACAGUCCUGCUGUUUCAGAUGUGCUGCUGCUGUUGACCUAUGUUGUGUGGUGUUUCUAUUAUUUUGUCCACCCCUGUACAUUAAAACAGCAUACAGGAAUUAAAUGGAAGCAACUAAUCUUUUCUCAUUUUCAGAAACAUGGCUCCUUCUUGACUUGAAAUGAUGAGUUCACUGAACUUGUUAAAUACAGUUUUUAAAGAAACAUGGUCAGUGUGUUUUAAAGAUUUCCCAGCAUGCAUUGUUUGACAGUCAAAACUCACCAGAGACCCUGAAAGACACAUGACAGAAAUCCACUGUGCGUCUCUGAGACAUGUUAAAUUAAACAUGUGUUAAAUGUAUUAAUUAUUCAUUAUGUUGUGUUUGUUUGAGAACUGGGUGAAGAAUUUUAAAAAAAGAAGAAGACACUAUAAAAGGAAUUCAUGAACCAACUG
Long non-coding RNA from Lates calcarifer (barramundi perch), 1083 nucleotides. RefSeq lists it as uncharacterized. The record is from RefSeq and is a predicted model, not a curated record. Lineage: Eukaryota; Metazoa; Chordata; Actinopteri; Centropomidae. The transcript has 3 exons.